GGGACAGGUCUGGGCUGGCAGGGCCAGCGGAAAAGACAGUAAGAGAAGACAUUCUGUCUCCACUGGCUGUGGGACCUUGGGCCGAGUCAUUUUUCAGAUCUCUUCCAGUUACAAUGGAUGAUCAUGAGAAAUUUCUUUCACAGGUUAGUAUCAACGCUCUACUCAAGCACUCCUGACAGGUGUCCACCAAGCUACUACUGGAUUUCCAGGGGCAGGUGUCCACCAAGCUACUACUGGAUUUCCAGGGGCAGGUGUCCACCAAGGUACUACUGGAUUUCCAGGGGCAGGAAUGUUCCGCAUGCCACAGUCACGGGCCCUACAGCUGGAAUGCUGCUACC
This is a long non-coding RNA of Homo sapiens (human), 338 nucleotides long. RefSeq lists it as uncharacterized. NCBI's taxonomy places the organism in Eukaryota, Metazoa, Chordata, Mammalia, Primates, Hominidae. The record is from RefSeq and is a predicted model, not a curated record. The transcript is spliced from 3 exons.